UACGGGGGGAGCAAGCGUUGUUCGGAUUUACUGGGCGUAAAGGGCGCGUAGGCGGUCUCCGCAAGUCAGUUGUGAAAUCUCCGAGCUUAACUCGGAAAGGUCAACUGAUACUGCGGGGCUAGAGUGCGGAAGGGGCAACUGGAAUUCUUGGUGUAGCGGUGAAAUGCGUAGAUAUCAAGAGGAACACCUGCGGCGAAGGCGGGUUGCUGGGCCGACACUGACGCUGAGGCGCGAAAGCUAGGGGAGCGAACGGG
This 254-nucleotide ribosomal RNA is filed under the name uncultured bacterium. Its description in RNAcentral is "partial 16S ribosomal RNA". It matches the Rfam family "Bacterial small subunit ribosomal RNA", at positions 524 to 776 of the family's 1533-position model. The record is from RNAcentral.